Molecule: ribosomal RNA, 503 nt
Filed under: Lepidozygus tapeinosoma (fusilier damselfish)
Lineage: Eukaryota; Metazoa; Chordata; Actinopteri; Pomacentridae
Description: partial large subunit ribosomal RNA
Rfam family: Bacterial large subunit ribosomal RNA
Source: RNAcentral
UAAGAGGUCCCGCCUGCCCUGUGACCAUGUGUUUAACGGCCGCGGUAUUUUGACCGUGCAAAGGUAGCGCAAUCACUUGUCUUUUAAAUGAAGACCUGUAUGAAUGGCACGACGAGGGCUUGACUGUCUCCUUUUUCUAGUCAAUGAAAUUGAUCUCCCCGUGCAGAAGCGGGGAUUUUACCAUAAGACGAGAAGACCCUGUGGAGCUUUAGACACUUAGGCAGAAUAUGUCAAAAAACCCCCCCCCCCCCGAACAGAACUUAAUAUUCCCUGCCCUAAUGUCUUUGGUUGGGGCGACCUCGGAAAACCAAAAAACUCCCGAGCGGAACGAGAAAACCAAACUCCAAAACUUAGAACCACCCCUCUAAUUAACAGAAUAUCUGACCGUUAAGAUCCGGCUAUUUGCCGAAUGACGAACCUAGUUACCCCAGGGAUAACAGCGCAAUCCUCUUUAAGAGUCCAUAUCGCCAAGAGGGUUUACGACCUCGAUGUUGGAUCAGGAC